CAAACACCGGAAUCAGAGUCUACAUGAAAAACUGAGUAAAAUAGGUUUCGGGGUCGAAAACCCUCAAAAGUCAACCAAAAGUCAACAUUUUCAAUCAUGUGAACAGUGCCUGCGCUUGGGCGCCAGCCUUCGUCACAAAACAGAGUCAAAAUGGCAUUUCUAGACUUCUCUGGGCGCCACUCCUCUAAAACGGUGCGCCACAGACAAAUUGUGCAGGAUUUCUGCAGGACAGCCUCUCAUUGCAACGAUCAUAACUUGGGCUACGAAAAUCCAAUGGAGACGCACAUAUACUCGUUGGAAAGCUAACAAACAGGGCUACAACUUUUAUGUUGGCCACUAAAACCAGUUCACAACGAAAAGAGGUCAAAAAUGUACGUAAAUGUUCAGACCUCAUAGAUAACAAUUUUCUACAUUUCUCAUUUCAAACUCUAAACUCUCAAGACUCUCACAUAGACCAUUUUUCAUAUUCUAAACUCCAUCACACAUAUAUACAUACUCNNNNNNNNNNNNNNNNNNNNNNNNNNNNNCAUCAAUACAUCAUUCAUUGCUUAUUAUUCAAAGAAAUUCAUGAACAUUUUGCAAAACUCAUCAACACUUUGCAAAUCAUUGAGCUUGGCUAAGGCCAAUCUAGGGCUUAGGCAAAGUACACCAAAAUAACCACACAUCAACACAAUCAACCAAGC
Molecule: long non-coding RNA, 683 nt
Filed under: Trifolium pratense (red clover)
Lineage: Eukaryota; Viridiplantae; Streptophyta; Magnoliopsida; Fabales; Fabaceae
Description: long non-coding RNA (TPRA_LNC009121)
Source: RNAcentral